Molecule: long non-coding RNA, 3096 nt
Organism: Crotalus tigris (Tiger rattlesnake)
Lineage: Eukaryota; Metazoa; Chordata; Lepidosauria; Squamata; Viperidae
Exons: 4
Source: RefSeq, a predicted model, not a curated record
CAAAUUUUUGAGAUGAGAACUAACCAGAAAGGCUAUUAUUUUACUUGGGCUGAGGCUACAUGCAUCUUCUAGACUAGAUUUCAUGACUGCAUUUCAGACAUUUCUCUGAAUUUGGAGGGAAAGCACAUAUUUCAUAGCAAGCCUCCUCCAUAUGAGAAAGAAGGGGCCAAUAAGAGAACUAGGGUGGUGUAACAGUUAAGAUGUUAAACCAGGGAUGGGGAGUGCCGGAAUGCAUUCCCCCCACCCCCAUCCAGCCACAAGACUGACUGAUGAAUUUGGGCCACCCACUGGUUCUCAGCCCAACCUAUCACCCAGGAUUGUUUUACAGAGUAAAAAAGAGGAAGGAGUCCGUCCUCUUUAUGCUGCCCAGCAUUCCUGAAAGAAAGAAAGAAAUACAAGGACCAUAAGAGUUUGCUUAAAUGUGACCCAGCGGAGCGGUUUGCAGCCAUAAGAAAUCUGGAAUCCAGGUCAUAAGUACCUGGGGAGGGGGGUCCACCAUAAUUCUGAAUGGUCACUAAGCAACCGUCGUUAAGCGAGGACUACUUGUAACGCAAGCCCUGGAUUGCAGCAAUAAAUUCUCCACAAUCCAGAUCUUCUAACUGAAUCCACAACCACUGUGGGCUCAGUAUCACAGACCCACAAGGACCAACUUCUCUGUUAUUGUAUUAUCUCUACCAAUUUAAACUAUAUCCACACUCAAGGUUCAAGAUGAAUGCAACCUGUGUCAUGUGGGGAAUCUUUUGGCUGAUUAUACUCUUUUUUAUUGGAUGGCCAAUUAGCAUAUUCUUGGGAGGACUGUACGGAUUCUUCGCUCCUAUGACCACUCUGAUAGGUCUGGAUGACUUUAGUGAGCUUUUAUUGAAGGGGGUAAAUGUGGGAAGAGAAUGUGCUAUGAAUGUGCGAACAGGAAAGUCCCUCUUUUAACAAUAAACCCUAUCAUAAAUCAGGAAAUAAACAUUCAUUUUAUGAUCUUUAAUGGAUUUUGAAAGUAUUUGUGUACAUUCCUGUUUAUAUUAAAAUGAUAAUUUAGAUUUUAAAUAAUACAUUAGUGAUAUUUUACAGUAUUGUAAAGAAGUAAUAUAGUGUCAUUUCAUUUGUAAGCUGUAUGAAACCUGGGGAGAUCCAAAUAAGAACUUCAUUUUUUUGUCAGAUCUGGAUUUGUCUAGAACGCCAUGUUUACAGCUCUGAAAACUUAUGCAGUAAUAUCUUUGCUUAGAAACAGUGAUGAAACUUGCCUUCCUCUUAGCGGGAAAGUUGGCAUUUGGCCUCUUACUCUGCCUUGUAAGUUAUCAAAAGUUCAAAGUCUAAUUGUUUAUUAGCUUCAUUACCAAAUGCAGUCAAUGUAUUAAUCUGUAUUAUCGCUAAUGUUCAUUAUAUUUAAAUUUGAUAUAAAUAUAUCAUAUAUAUGGGAGCUAUUUUUAAUUAUUCAUAGAUAUGGUAUUACUUAUGAUAAAUAAAACAUAACUGUACUGGUAGUUUCCACUUUUUUUUUUACAUUUUUGUUAUAUAUUUUUCUCCUAAUAUAAGAAAUUCCUGAAUUUUGCUGAAUUGCUAAAUUUUGCUGUUACUUUUCUGAAACUCAAUUAUAAAUAUUAUGAUGAUCUUAAAACUAGAAUCUACUUUAUAUAUUGUUAAAGUAUUUUUGCUGUCACUUAUCUGAUAGAGAUCUAAGUUCUCUGUCCCCUAAUAUGUAUGUAAGUAAUCCUUGGUACAAUUUGAAACAAUGGGAAAGUGUCAUUGCUAAUGGUCCAGGUUGAGAAUAGAAAUUAUCCCAGUUUCCUCAUUAGAUUGCAUAUUCCAGAAACUGAUCAGAAUAAUGCAUCCAUGUUGAUUCUUUUGAGUGUGUGUGUGUUAUAUAAUACCAUAUUAUAUCAUUAUCUGUGGCUCCUAAAAUGUUUAGCUAUAAACUAUUAUUAUGCAGAUCUGUUUGGCUGAGUGUUUCUAGGUAUUAGUAGUGGAGGAGUAUUGCUUGAUUCUUUAGCUGUUAACAAAAUAUAUCUCAGGAUGUUUUCAUGAUAGCCCCCCCUAAACCUUCACAUGAUCAUUUCCCAUGACACUAGACAAACAACAACAAGAAGAAAACAACUCCCUUUAAAAUAUAAAGUUACCAUAUUGGGUGGCACCAACUCAAGCCCAAUUAUAAGACAGGCGUUCUCUAUUUCAGAAGCAUAUUAGGGAAUUUGGUGUUGUGGUUAAGGAACCAGGUUAGAGACUAGGAGACUUUGAGUUCUAGUCCUACCUUAGGCAUGAAAGUCAGCUCGGUGACUUAAGCAGAGUCACUUUUUUCCAGCCCAACACACCUCACAGGAUUAUUAUUGUGGGGAAAUCAGAAGAAGGAAGGACUAUUUAAAUAUGUUUGCCACCUUAAAUUGUUUAUAAAAAAUAAACGGGGGAAAUGAAUGAAUGAAUGAAUAAAAUAAAUGAAUGAAUGAAUGUCUCUCUCGGUUGAUAUACAUUCAGCUAUAAGACAACUCACAAUGAGUUGCUUUUUCCUUUAUGCCUUAUAAGUGUUCGAGUUUUAGAAGCUUUUUCAAACUUAAAAAUAGUGCUUAGCACUAGCUAGGUAUCUGGCAUUGAUUCUUAAUGCACAUUUCAGGAUCAAAGUAGUUGUUUUUACAUAUUGUCAUUAUUUCUAAUUGGAUGGCAAUGGUUUUACCAGAAUCAGCAUAGGGUUACUGGAUGGCCAAUAGGGGAAAGAGCUUGAGGUAAAAAAUUAUCUCCUUUCUAUUCCUAUCACUUUGCACAAAUGAGAUAAGGCUGUUACAGGAGAAACUCCAAACUUUCUAGAGAUCGUAAUUUCUCUUCUGAGCACCGUUUGACUAUUUGUAAGCAAAAUAUUCACUUCUUUUGUUAACUGAUUUGCAAUGUUGAUCCAUAAUUUCUUAACAUUAGAAAAGAUCAUAACUGAGAAUAUUCCAACUUUCACUGAAAUUUAAUUUCAUUCAUUUUCUCUCAAUAUUUAGGUAAGUUUGAAACUAUUUGAAGUUAUGGUACAGCUCUUUUGUUGUUAGUUGCAAAAUCGUAUCCGACCCAUCGCGACCCCAUGGACAACGUUCCUCCAGGCCUUUCUGUCCUCUAACAUCUUCUGGAGUCCGU